CAGGUUGAGCCGUAAUGGAGGACUGUGGAAGAACAGGUUGAGCCGUAAUGGAGGACUGUGGAAGAACAGGUUGAGCCAUAAUGGAGGACUGUGGAAGGACAGGUUGAGCCGUAAUGGAGGACUGUGGAAGGACAGGUUGAGCCGUAAUGGAGGACUGUGGAAGGACAGGUUGAGCCGUAAUGGAGGACUGUGGAAGAACAGGUUGAGCCGUAAUGGAGGACUGUGGAAGAACAGGUUGAGCCAUGAUGGAGGACUGUGGAAGAACAGGUUGAGCCGUAAUGGAGGACGAGGGACCGGAGUCCUGAGCUGGAACAAGAGACUGAGGAGUCCCGUCCAUGAUAAUGGGAGCUCCACUAUAGAGACACAAACAGUGAGGGAAUGAGCCUUGUUGUCUGUUGACACAACGAGAGGCAACAAACAAUGAUAGCACAACAUCAAAUAUUAAAUCAGAAAUUGUUUUGUAUCAUAAAAAUGUGUUUGUUUUUUUUAUAUACGAAAGGGGACUCCGAUCUAUCCAAAAUUAAACCAACUUCACCACAUUCAGCCUACAACUUGAAGCCUACCAACUACCUUCAUAAUGUUAACAAAAAUAAGACUCUGAUGUAGGCUACAAUUGACUGUAGAAAUUACAGUAAAUGAACUGCAAAAAAGUUGCCAGUAAAAGUAUGGUAAAACAACAGUGAUUUACUGCAAAUUAGAAUUAAAACAUUCAUUGCUGUAGAUGUACUACAAUAACUUACUGUUUAUAAAUAACAGACAUUUGCUAUAGAUGUACUACAAUAACUUACUCAUUCUCUAUUUCCUUUGAGAAUGAACACAUUUCUG
Molecule: long non-coding RNA, 825 nt
Organism: Oncorhynchus tshawytscha (Chinook salmon)
Lineage: Eukaryota; Metazoa; Chordata; Actinopteri; Salmoniformes; Salmonidae
Source: Ensembl